Molecule: ribosomal RNA, 492 nt
Filed under: uncultured bacterium
Lineage: Bacteria
Description: partial 16S ribosomal RNA
Rfam family: Bacterial small subunit ribosomal RNA
Source: RNAcentral
GAUGAACGCUAGCUACAGGCUUAACACAUGCAAGUCGAGGGGAAACGACAUCGAAAGCUUGCUUUUGAUGGGCGUCGACCGGCGCACGGGUGAGUAACGCGUAUCCAACCUGCCCAUCACUUGGGAAUAACCUUGCGAAAGUAAGACUAAUACCCAAUGAUAUCCCACGAAGGCAUCGGAAUGGGAUUAAAGAUUUAUCGGUGAUGGAUGGGGAUGCGUGUGAUUAGCUUGUUGGCGAGGUAACGGCCCACCAAGGCAACGAUCAGUAGGGGUUCUGAGAGGAAGGUCCCCCACAUUGGAACUGAGACACGGUCCAAACUCCUACGGGAGGCAGCAGUGAGGAAUAUUGGUCAAUGGGCGAGAGCCUGAACCAGCCAAGUAGCGUGCAGGAAGACGGCCCUAUGGGUUGUAAACUGCUUUUAGAAGGGAAUAAAGUGGGUCACGUGUGACUUUUUGCAUGUACCUUAUGAAUAAGGACCGGCUAAUUCCGUG